Molecule: ribosomal RNA, 274 nt
Filed under: uncultured bacterium
Lineage: Bacteria
Description: partial 16S ribosomal RNA
Rfam family: Bacterial small subunit ribosomal RNA
Source: RNAcentral
AUACGGAGGGUGCAAACGUUGUUCGGAAUCACUGGGCGUAAAGGGCGCGCAGGCGGUUUGAUUAGUCACAUGAGAAAGCCCACGGCUUAACCGUGGAAGUGCAUUUGAAACUGUCAGACUUGAGUACCAGAGGGGGUAGUGGAAUUCCCGGUGUAGAGGUGAAAUGCGUAGAUAUCGGGAGGAAUACCGGUGGCGAAGGCGACUACCUGGCUGGAUACUGACGCUGAGGCGCGAAAGCGUGGGGAGCAAACAGGAUUAGAAACCCCAGUAGUCC